AUUCAUAAGUGCAUGAAGAAGACUCCUAGAGAGCUACUUAAGAAAGCAAAUUCAGGUUACUUUGUUUUCCAGUAUCAUGUACCAUGAUGGCAGGGUGAAAGAAGGGAUUGGGAGACUUUGGAGAGGUUCCAAUUUAGGUUGUUGAACUAGUGAUCUUGAUGGAUUUGGUUCAGAUUAUUUUCCGAGUCUCAACUUCUCAGGCAUCUGGUUUGUGCAUUAGUUGAACAUCAUUGUUUCCAGAAAUUGUCAGACACAUGACAAUUGGCAAGUCCUAAAUAUUGGAUAUGUGAUGCUUUUGUCAUGUCGGAGGCCAGGUUAGUCAAGCUAUCAACACAACCAAGGUAUUUGCUUGCUGUCAAAAGUUGGGUGCCAAUGUUGAGCAUUCAGGAGCUUGAUUUGGGUGGCUCUCUAACUUACCUUCUCAAGGAAAUUGAGAGAGAGCUUACAGCAUGGGAAGUUUUCAAUAGUUUUAAAAAAAGGGAACUGAUAGACUGGACAAAUCACAAAACAAAACUCCUAGGAAGAUUUGAACUUCAUAUACUCAUUGUACGUCAUUGCUGGUUUCCCAUAGAUGGAGAUUCUUAUGCCUAGCAAGUAGUAGAAUUUGAGGUUUAUUAUCUUGGAAGCUACAAGCAAUGGGUAAGUUGUUGUUUUUUAAUGUUUACAUUUUUUCCUUUUAUGUAAAUACUUCAAUUUGAUUUAUUCUCAGAUUGCUUGAAAUCAAAUGAGGCUGCUGUAUAAUACUGCAGAGAUAUGAAUGCAAUGAUAUGUUACUGAUACAAAUAUUGUCGAAAUUUGUUAUAUUAGUAUUUCAUGAGCAAGUGAAAAACUUGAAGGGAUCUGUCAAGACCAAGGUUAAUUUGAAGAAGUUUAAUGAUCAAGGCAUGUUCUACUAAUUAUGUCUACUGAUCUUUAAGGGUAAUGAGAAUGGAAACAGAGGCAGCAACCACAAAAUUUUUUCAGCCUUAUAACACCUGCUUUGAAAUUCUAGGAUGAGAUGUUGCCAUGGUGAUGUUACCACUUCUCUAAUCCUCCCGCUCUUGAACUUCCAUUGCAACCUGGGAGGACAGAAAAAUAUAUUUGGAUCCGAACAUCUGAAGACUCCUUUUCCGUAUCUUUCUUUAAUUUUUUGCUUGUUUCUUACUUGCUUCUUGCCACUUAUGGGCCAUGCAUAAUAUAAUACAUAACCAUAGUACGGCUGUAUUGUUGUUAAAGUGACCUUUGUGUUAUUAUUUAUCAGCCUCUAAACAAUCAAAGCAUUCAACCAUUUCAUAAUUCACAUGCAUUUAUUAUGCAAAAGACUUCGUGGCAGGCCUUAGUUUCAACUUCCUUGAGUAGAUAUCACCUUUAAUUUAUGCAUUAACUAAUGAACUACACUUUAUCUUGUUCCAAUUAUUAUCAUCAAGUUCUCAUCCUAGUUCUGAACAUAUGGCACGGCUGAGUUCUCAUAGGUUAAUUCAGUAACUGUAGCUUGGGUUCCAAGGAUGCCAUGCCCAUCUGUUCUUUUCACAGGAUUCCUGAUGAUGACAAAACCUGAAAACGACACCAAAUUAUUGACACAACUAAUUACUUGUGCCAGGUUGAGAAACAUCUUGGUCCAAAAUAAUAAUUGGAUGAGCUGGAACAUCAAUGAAGUUGGGCCAUAUUAACUGUUUAUCAAGCAUUGAAGUGAACCUGGAACUUCAAGAAAAGGGGAAAAACAUCUAUUUAUGCUGAUAAUCAGGAGGUAUAUUCCAUUUAAUGAGAUGUUAUCCUUACUAAUUAUACUGUGUCUCUCUCUGUAGUUGCUCGCCUUUUUUAUGUGUUUUAAUUUCUCUUGUCUUUGUUAUGAUCCAGAUCUGAUCAAAAGAAUGAGAGACCUGAGAACUAAGGGUUCGUCUGGUUCGCGGGAA
RNAcentral lists this long non-coding RNA (1892 nucleotides) under Phoenix dactylifera (date palm). Its description in RNAcentral is "long non-coding RNA (PDAC_LNC005244)". Lineage: Eukaryota; Viridiplantae; Streptophyta; Magnoliopsida; Arecales; Arecaceae. The record is from RNAcentral.